UGGUAUGUCUUUCCACACUUCAAGGAUCUUCUUGAAGAGUUGUUCAUUUGCUUCCUCCGAGGCAGCUUCAGCAUUGAAGGAGAGCAUCACGCCAAUUCCCAAGCAAUCAGAAGACAUUACAGAGGGCAGAUGUGUCAGAUCUACUUGAGAAGGAAUGGAAGUUGGUUAUGAGCCAUCUGUCAAGGAUACUGGGAACUGAACUCAGAACCUCUUCCCGGCUGAACCACCUCUCCAGACCCCAUCAACUAAAUUCUUAAACAAAUAUGAAACUAACUAAAAACAGCAAAUAAAUGUAAGAGCCUCUCUUAUCUGAAUUA
Molecule: long non-coding RNA, 317 nt
Organism: Mesocricetus auratus (golden hamster)
Lineage: Eukaryota; Metazoa; Chordata; Mammalia; Rodentia; Cricetidae
Exons: 2
Source: RefSeq, a predicted model, not a curated record